Molecule: ribosomal RNA, 507 nt
Filed under: Docalidia diversa
Lineage: Eukaryota; Metazoa; Arthropoda; Insecta; Hemiptera; Cicadellidae
Description: partial large subunit ribosomal RNA
Rfam family: Bacterial large subunit ribosomal RNA (bases 381-507)
Source: RNAcentral
UUUUUUUAGUUUAUGUUAAAGGUAUUUUCUGCCCAAUGAUUAAUUAAAUGGCUGCAGUAUUUUGACUGUACAAAGGUAGCAUAAUAAUUAGUUUUUUAAUUGAGGACUUGAAUGAAAGGAUAGAUGAGGGAUUAAUUUUAUUAUUCUUAACGCUUUAAUUUAAUUUUUUAGUUAAAAAGCUAAAUUGAUUUUUAGGGACGAUAAGACCCUAUAGAACUUCAAGUUUAGUUUUUUUUUGGUUUUUUCUGGUAAAUUUUAAAAUAAUUUUUAUUAAACUUUUAAUUGGGGUGAUUAGUAAAUUUAGCAGGCUUUAUUUUUUUAUUUCAUUAAUUAGUGUUUUUAUGAUCCUCAUUUUAGAUAAUAAGAUAAGUUACCUUAGGGAUAACAGCGUUAUUUCAAUUGAAAGUUCAUAUUAAUAUUGAAGUUUGCGACCUCGAUGUUGAAUUAAGAUAAAUUUAAGGUGUAGAAGCUUUAAAAUUGAGUCUGUUCGACUCUUAAAAUCUUACA